RNAcentral lists this ribosomal RNA (1100 nucleotides) under uncultured bacterium. Its description in RNAcentral is "bacterial SSU rRNA". It matches the Rfam family "Bacterial small subunit ribosomal RNA", at positions 28 to 1139 of the family's 1533-position model. The record is from RNAcentral.
GAUGAACGCUGGCGGCGUGCUUAACACAUGCAAGUCGAACGGUGAAGCCAAGCUUGCUUGGUGGAUCAGUGGCGAACGGGUGAGUAACACGUGAGCAACCUGCCCUGGACUCUGGGAUAAGCGCUGGAAACGGCGUCUAAUACUGGAUAUGAGACGUGAUCGCAUGGUCAACGUUUGGAAAGAUUUUUCGGUCUGGGAUGGGCUCGCGGCCUAUCAGCUUGUUGGUGAGGUAAUGGCUCACCAAGGCGUCGACGGGUAGCCGGCCUGAGAGGGUGACCGGCCACACUGGGACUGAGACACGGCCCAGACUCCUACGGGAGGCAGCAGUGGGGAAUAUUGCACAAUGGGCGGAAGCCUGAUGCAGCAACGCCGCGUGAGGGAUGACGGCCUUCGGGUUGUAAACCUCUUUUAGCAGGGAAGAAGCGAAAGUGACGGUACCUGCAGAAAAAGCGCCGGCUAACUACGUGCCAGCAGCCGCGGUAUUACGUAGGGCGCAAGCGUUAUCCGGAAUUAUUGGGCGUAAAGAGCUCGUAGGCGGUUUGUCGCGUCUGCUGUGAAAUCCCGAGGCUCAACCUCGGGCCUGCAGUGGGUACGGGCAGACUAGAGUGCGGUAGGGGAGAUUGGAAUUCCUGGUGUAGCGGUGGAAUGCGCAGAUAUCAGGAGGAACACCGAUGGCGAAGGCAGAUCUCUGGGCCGUAACUGACGCUGAGGAGCGAAAGGGUGGGGAGCAAACAGGCUUAGAUACCCUGGUAGUCCACCCCGUAAACGUUGGGAACUAGUUGUGGGGACCAUUCCACGGUUUCCGUGACGCAGCUAACGCAUUAAGUUCCCCGCCUGGGGAGUACGGCCGCAAGGCUAAAACUCAAAGGAAUUGACGGGGACCCGCACAAGCGGCGGAGCAUGCGGAUUAAUUCGAUGCAACGCGAAGAACCUUACCAAGGCUUGACAUACACCAGAACGGGCCAGAAAUGGUCAACUCUUUGGACACUGGUGAACAGGUGGUGCAUGGUUGUCGUCAGCUCGUGUCGUGAGAUGUUGGGUUAAGUCCCGCAACGAGCGCAACCCUCGUUCUAUGUUGCCAGCACGUAAUGGUGGGAACU